UGAUAAACAAGAAUGUGUCCAAAGUACACGGAUGCCCCACUCACACUAUCAUUUUCCAUGUUCAAUGGACCAUGAAAUUGGAUAAAAAUAUAAUUAGGCAUUAAAAUUAGAAAGAUAAUAUCAUAGGGAACAUGUGUACUAAGUUUCAAGUUGAUUGGACUUCAACUUCAUCAAAAACUACCUUGACCAAAAACUUUAACCUGAAACAUGCACUUUCAUUUUCUAUGUUCAGUGGACCGUGAAAUUGGGGUCAAAAGUUUAAUUUGGCUUUAAAAUUAGAAAGAUCAUAUCAUAAGGAACAUGUGUACUAAGUUUCAAGUUGAUUGGACUUCAACUUCAUCAAAAACUACCUUGACC
Molecule: long non-coding RNA, 357 nt
Filed under: Mytilus galloprovincialis (Mediterranean mussel)
Lineage: Eukaryota; Metazoa; Mollusca; Bivalvia; Mytilida; Mytilidae
Source: RNAcentral